GUACUUAAUAGCACGUGUUUAAUAAAACUAAGGCAUUUCAUGUACACAAAAAGAACAUAGCAUAUGUCCUUCUAAGUCUGUAGAUGAAGAUUAGAGGAUGUACAGUCUAUGUCUACUAAAAACCCUGCAUGUAUUCCUUCUCUCAGGAAUUUGCUGCCUCACGUCAUAGUCCUUUUGAAGACUGAUACUAAACUACUUGUUAUUUUUCAUGCAAGAAGCCUCUCACAGAUCAAAUUCUCUUGGCUAUCAACAACUUUCUUGUCAUUCUCUCACAUCCUAACUUCAGCUGCCCAUCAUUAAAAAGAGAUUUAAUUGCAUUCUGCCCUUUUCUGGCUAUAUGGAAAAAGGCUAGCACUAGCUGUUAGAGUACUGUGAGACAUAUUUAUGGCAACAUUUAUAUUGAAAAUAUAUGGUCUUGAAAAGUGUGUGUUUUUUGUUUCUUUGUUUUUUAGGGUAAAGACAGGCAGAGGGGUUGAAAAAAAGGAAGACGCAUCAGACACAAAGCAAUAUAGCUGCUGCCUUCAGUUUGAAAAUUAAUUAAAUCAGUUCAAAAAUUAAUUAAAUCAUGGACUAACUCUGUGUUGGUUUCCUUUUUGCUCUUUAAAUAAUGGAAAUACUAAGAGGCCCUGGGAAAAGUGCAUGUUGACUUCCAUCCUUAAAAAAUACUUAAUUAACGGCUCUUGUCUCUCAACCUUGUUGGUCCAAGGUGUGUACAUUAGCAUCUACACUGAAGAUAAAGCUACCUUUAAUCUUGUGGCAGGCACAACUUUACUGACUCCAAAUAUUUGUAAACAGUCAUAUUUUCUGAUUGCCUUUUAAAGAGUAAAGAAAGUAGCAUGCAAGCAAAUAUUACACAGCUUGUUAGUGCACCACUGGUGGGACUGUUUCAAGUGUAUUUAGAAAGGAAGAAACUUAUUUCUCACAAGCCUAUUUGCAGAAGAGAUCUUUGCUGAAUGCUUGACACAAAGACUUAUGAUAUCUGCUGAAAUGCAGGAAGUGAAAAGAGAUGCCGACCAUCUGAACUACAUGACAAAGCACACAGCAGGAAGGACACAGUGUGGAUCUGUGACAAUGACAGGCAGGAACAGCUCUGGAGCCUCUGACCAAGCACUGCAUGCAAAAUCUCUGUCCUGCAUCCUUCAGUGGCUAAGGCACAACUGAGCCAGAAAAACUAAGUUUCACUAAGGUGUUUUUAAAUGGACUAGAGACAUUCACAGCCUGUGAAGAAAGAAUUAAAUUGUCUUCAAAAUAAGCAAAACCAACAUUUUUCAUCAAGGUUAAUUAGAGGGCAAACAAAAUUGUACCCCUUGAUCAGCCCAUGCUGCCUGGUCCCGUUGAUGUGCAUUCCCUCUCCCCCAAAAUGAACCUGUACCCACUGCUCUGCUCUUUGCUUCCCUUUUGCAAGUGGAAAAUAAGCCUCAAGGGCACAGGUGUGCAGUGAUAUUAAAAAUAGACACCACUUUUCAAGACAGCCCCUAAAAGAGCCAUCACUGGAACAAGCCUCUGCCUGUGUUAGCUGAUCCAUUUGGUGCUCUGGUUUGCAAAAAUGAAACCAGGGUUUCAGAAACACAGCUGCCCCCAAGCUAAUGUGGUCUCUAGUUUGAAAGGAAGGGAUGCUGUUUCCUCCUUCCCUUCCUUCCUUCCUUCCUUCCUUGCUUUCUUGCUUCACUCCUUCCUUCCCCAAAGAAAAGCACCAAGGACAACUUGAAAGAGACAAAAAUGUAAACACAGUUUUUGAUGACAUACAUAAACCGAAGCAAGUAUAUGGAGAUUAAUACAAUUUCAAGAAAUUCAGCCACCUGAUAUAAUGUUUUGACAUUUUGAUAACACCCUUUGGUGGCUCAGACAAGAGCCACCAAAGUCCAGUGUAUGUUUUAUUUCACAGAAAAUC
This is a long non-coding RNA of Pezoporus occidentalis (night parrot), 1891 nucleotides long. RefSeq lists it as uncharacterized. Lineage: Eukaryota; Metazoa; Chordata; Aves; Psittaciformes; Psittacidae. The record is from RefSeq and is a predicted model, not a curated record. The transcript is spliced from 3 exons.